Molecule: ribosomal RNA, 460 nt
Filed under: uncultured bacterium
Lineage: Bacteria
Description: partial 16S ribosomal RNA
Rfam family: Bacterial small subunit ribosomal RNA
Source: RNAcentral
CCUACGGGCGGCAGCAGUGAGGAAUAUUGGUCAAUGGACGAGAGUCUGAUCCAGCCAAGUAGCGUGAAGGAUGACUGCCCUAUGGGUUGUAAACUUCUUUUAUAUGGGAGUAAAAUGCUGCACGUGUGGAAUUAUGUAUGUAUCAUAUGAUUAAGGAUCGGCUAACUCCGUGCCAGCAGCCGCGGUAAUACGGAGGAUCCGAGCGUUAUCCGGAUUUAUGGGGUUUAAAGGGAGCGUAGGUGGAUUGUUAAGUCAGUUGUGAAAGUUUGCGGAUCAACCGUAAAAUUGCAGUUGAAACUGGCAGUCUUGAGUACAGUAGAGGUAGGCGGAAUUCGUGGUGUAGCGGUGAAAUGCGUAGAUAUCACGAAGAACACCGAUUGCGAAGGCAGCUCACUGGACUGCAACUGACAUUGAGGCUCGAAAGUGUGGGGAUCAAACAGGAUUAGAUACCCUUGUAGUC